This is a non-coding RNA of Paramuricea clavata, 205 nucleotides long. Lineage: Eukaryota; Metazoa; Cnidaria; Anthozoa; Malacalcyonacea; Plexauridae. The record is from the annotation of a GenBank genome assembly.
UUGGAGUAUCUUUGCAUAGAAAAACUAAACUAGAAUUUCGUCCUAAAAUGCCAUUUCAUGCCUUUUUCCACGAGCAAAUUAUUUCAGCCAUGGUUUAGUUUUCUGGCGAUGUUUAAAUUUCGGUUCCCAAAUUCCUACCAAGUCAACUGACUCGGUUGACUCAUAGCUAAUUACGGGCCUGCAGAUGAUGGUCAAAUUCAGAAAU